This 59-nucleotide small RNA is filed under the name Salmonella enterica. Its description in RNAcentral is "partial RtT sRNA". It matches the Rfam family "RtT RNA", at positions 1 to 59 of the family's 130-position model. From Rfam's summary of the family: This family represents a bacterial cis-regulatory element known as RtT RNA. The exact function of RtT is unknown although it is thought that it may be involved in changing the cellular response in relation to amino acid starvation. Lineage: Bacteria; Pseudomonadati; Pseudomonadota; Gammaproteobacteria; Enterobacterales; Enterobacteriaceae. RNAcentral also lists the same sequence under 1 other name. The record is from RNAcentral.
AUUCUACCCAUGCGGGGAAGGAUGAGAAGCUUCGACUAAGGUUCGAUUCGAGCGCAGCG